Molecule: small RNA, 57 nt
Filed under: Arabidopsis thaliana (thale cress)
Lineage: Eukaryota; Viridiplantae; Streptophyta; Magnoliopsida; Brassicales; Brassicaceae
Description: ATSL270780
Source: RNAcentral
AAUAUGAAUUGAUGUCAUGUGUAUGAUUGAGUAUAAGAACUUAAACCACAACCGGAG